Molecule: long non-coding RNA, 847 nt
Organism: Rhinopithecus roxellana (golden snub-nosed monkey)
Lineage: Eukaryota; Metazoa; Chordata; Mammalia; Primates; Cercopithecidae
Exons: 3
Source: RefSeq, a predicted model, not a curated record
GUAUUUCUGAGCUGACAGCAAUGGGAGAAGGGACCUAUUACUGCAGUGUCCCUGGGUACCCAGUACCUUUGAGAUUCUGUGUUGCAUCAUCUUCACCAGAACGCUGAAAGAUGGAGAAACUAAUACACAGAGAGGGGAAGAAAUAAAGAACCAUGCCCAAAUUCACAAUGAAGUAGAGUUAAGCACAACUAUCUCACUGCUCUGAAAGAGUCUACUCUUGUCAUCUCCAAGAAGUCACCAACAAGGAGCUAAAGGAGUGAGGCCCUAGGAGCCAAAUGGUUGUACAUCCAUAUCCCAGAAUUUGUUCUAUUCCUCCCGCAUGACCCCAAAAGAGGCACCUGAAUGACCUUGGAAGACACCCUGUAAACCAUCCCCUACAUACACACUAGUAAAACCCUAGGCCCAAGCUUCAGCCACAAGAUCAAGGAACUUCCAAUGAAAUGGAUAAGAUUUGACUCUAAACCAAUGCUUGAUACUCAAGAUCCCUAAGUAAAUUAUGAAUUUUUCCCAGUAACUUAAAAUAACAUCUAUACCAUAUGGCACUUUUUGCUUCUCCAAAAUUUUUGUUUCCCUUCUCCUCAAAUGUAUGCUUCUAAAAUCCUGAGUCAGAUUAGAGGUUCCCAUUAUUUUCUCACCUCUGUCUAUUACAGGGCAGACAUGAUAAACCACUUGCUUUCAGAAUUUUGAGGAGUAAAAUUUUUUUUUCUUGCUCUCUUACUCAGAAGACCCAGUGGUGAGACAGUGAGAGGGUUGGUGCAGCUCUGCGAAGUCCGGCAAGGGGGUUCCUCAAGGAAUUGUGGGAAUCCUGGAGACAUAGUUACUGCUAUAUAUCUAACAGGUCUUGGGA